CGUUCACCGUCAGAUACUCAUCGUCACGUAGCCAGGCCACCUGUGCCACCAUGAAUAUACCAUAAAAUCGCCUUUUGCUUUUCUUUCGAGCCUGCCGCUCUGGGAGUGUCAGCCUUCGCAGUUUCUGAUUCUCGGUACGUGUUCUCGUGAAACAAAAGACACCCAGAGACCUCUUGUCUUGAGAUAGGUCUUGAAGAGUGCUUCUAUCGCACCCCGAAGUCAAUUCAUAUUUGAAAGAAAUUGUAUUUAUCGAGUGUUAUAACGCGAUAAAGAACGAAGUGUCAGAUGGAAGGAGGAGGGUUGCAUCUACCGCCGCCUCCAAGAAUAAAUAAAAUAUAAAAAUAUCAAUAUUAUCGCGUUCUGAAAUAUUCGUCAGUAAAUAUUGUGGAAAUACAUUUGCCUGUGAGACACAAGCCAAGCCAGUACAUUGUCUGUAUUGUCAACGUAUCAUCGUCAGUUGAUCUUUAUGCUGUACACCAACAUGUGAAAACAUAAGCGUAGUCCGUUUUAUCAAUUCAGAGGAGACGCGGAACAUUGCUCGAUUACGCAAUGGUGAAACCAUAACUGAAAAGCGGUGUCUUGCGCGAUUGCUGAAUCAACGAUUUGUGACAUUAAAAGACGAACGUGUAAAACUUGGAGGAAGAAGAUAUCUGCACAAGUGACAUUCCCAAGCAUUCUGAAGCAUUCACAGCAUCACAGACAAUUAUCGGAUGGUACAAGGCACAUCAUCAACGAGAUACUCCCGAGGAAUUAUUAAUUUUAACAAAGAUAUGCAAUCUAGCAGCUCGAGAAGAUCGCACGAACAAAGAUGAUUCAAACAUGUGUACGUAAUACAUGGAAUAUGUACAAACAUCAGAAUUUUUCAUGCAGAAUGUACUUAAAUGAAAGGCUCAUGGAUACGCCACUGGCUGUACAUCCGUACAACUCUAUACGUACGUACUACUUUUACGUACGUACGUACGAAACAACGUCCGUUACAACGGGCGUCGUUGCGACGUUCGUGUGGCCGCAGCCUAAAGGUCCCUCUGGAGAACGUUCGCCGAGCGAACAGGUUCAGAUUUCGGAAAAAAUCCUUUCGAUUUAUGCUCAUUGACGGCGACUGCCGGCUUCGUGAAACAGAAUAGACGGAGAGGCGUGGUCGUGGGAUUCACGAUGCUUGCCGAGAAAACGGCCGAUAUUUAUUAGGUAGCUGAGACCGAUCGAACAGUCUUUCGUCGAUACUUCAACGAUGUGUCGAGGAUUUUUAAGUUCUGAUGUUCGAUAUGGUACGAGGAUUACGAGAUAGCGUUAAUGGUUUGGGAUUAUUUGACGAAAGAAUCGUAGUUGAAAUGAUAUUGCAAGAGAAAAAUAUUUUGAAUGAGAAGCAUCUUUCUCUGAUAUAUUUCAAUCAAAAGUGUCGCAAUAUUUUCUGUGAUUUGUUGAAUCGUGGACAGCGACAGUGUAGCUCUUUAAAAGUCUACGAUAAUACGAAUGAAAUUGUUGCAUGUAUACUAUGAACUAUCAGUUAAGAACGACUUUGCACAAUGCUGAUUUGUUAAAUAACAACCAUAGAAGAUAAUGCGUUCAAGUUACUUGAAUAUCUAAACAAAUUUCCAACCAAGAUUUUAAUUAUAAAUAUAUCACAAUUAAAUUAUUCAACCUUUUAACGUUUUCUCUACUGAUCUGUCUCAACGACUGAAGAACUUGCAACUUUCUCCACCUCCCUAUUUUACAAUCGAAACUUUAUAAAUAUCAAAAAAUAUUUAGUCAAAUAAAAUUGUAUUUACGUA
Molecule: long non-coding RNA, 1769 nt
Organism: Bombus terrestris (buff-tailed bumblebee)
Lineage: Eukaryota; Metazoa; Arthropoda; Insecta; Hymenoptera; Apidae
Exons: 4
Source: RefSeq, a predicted model, not a curated record